UACAGAGGUCUCGAGCGUUAGGCGGAAUCACUGGGCUUAAAGCGUGUGUAGGCGGGUCGUUAAGUGCCUUGUGAAAUCCCAUGGCUCAACCAUGGAACUGCUGGGCAUACUGGCGAUCUUGUGCCACCUAGGGGCGAGCGGAACAGAUGGUGGAGCGGUGAAAUGCGUAGAUAUCAUCUGGAACGCCAAUGGUGAAAACAGCUCGCUGGGGGUGUGCAGACGCUGAGACACGAAGGCCAGGGGAGCGAACGGG
RNAcentral lists this ribosomal RNA (253 nucleotides) under uncultured bacterium. RNAcentral describes it as "partial 16S ribosomal RNA". It matches the Rfam family "Bacterial small subunit ribosomal RNA", at positions 524 to 776 of the family's 1533-position model. The record is from RNAcentral.